RNAcentral lists this ribosomal RNA (443 nucleotides) under uncultured bacterium. RNAcentral describes it as "partial 16S ribosomal RNA". It matches the Rfam family "Bacterial small subunit ribosomal RNA", at positions 338 to 795 of the family's 1533-position model. The record is from RNAcentral.
CCUACGGGAGGCAGCAGUGGGGGAUAUUGGACAAUGGGGGGAACCCUGAUCCAGCGACGCCGCGUGAGUGAAGAAGUAUUUCGGUAUGUAAAGCUCUGUCAGCAGGGAAGAAAGAAAUGACGGUACCUGACCAAGAAGCCCCGGCUAACUACGUGCCAGCAGCCGCGGGAAUACGUAGGGGGCAAGCGUUAUCCGGAAUUACUGGGUGUAAAGGGAGCGUAGACGGUUAAGUAAGUCUGGAGUGAAAGGCCGGGGCCCAACCCCGGGACUGCUCUGGAAACUAUUGAACUUGAGUGCAGGAGAGGUAAGCGGAAUUCGUAGUGUAGCGGUGAAAUGCGUAGAUAUUAGGAAGAACACCAGUGGCGAAGGCGGCUUACUGGACUGUAACUGACGUUGAGGCUCGAAAGCGUGGGGAGCAAACAGGAUUAGAUACCCCAGUAGUC